ACUCAUCAGCGUGUCUAUGGCAUUUAUAACAUUCACACUCCAUCCCCGUGGAUUUCGUUGACUUUCAAAAGGCCCGACGUAAUCUGUUAUGCGAUGUGCUGAAUGGUAGACCGUAAGAUUUGCACAGAGUAGUUUCUGAACGACAAUCACAGGUGGAACAUUGAUCUUCUUCACUUUUUAUUCUAAUAUCAAGGGAAAUCAUCAUUCGUGACACUGUCUGGACUAUAUAUGAAAGUAGAUGACAUCAGCUAGGAAGUUAGCCUCAAUUUAUCAAUCAAAAGAGCAUCGCCGUACAUCCAUCUCUAUGCUUAAUCCUCUGAAUCCUCUGAACAAGAACUGAAUUGAUAUACAUACAUCUACGGUCUGGGGAGAGAUCUUGAGAAUGAUAUCGGUUGUCGGUGUGAGACGUUGUUUAUGUAUAAAACGUGGUGUUCUGGUUAAAUUCCGUCGCGAGAGGGUGUGUGUUUUGUGUUAUGUUUCACUGGAUAAUUGAAAUCUACAGCCACGUCAAUCUCCAAAAUAUAUGAGAAGGUGCUCAUGUGUGUUCUGGAAAAGGUGUGCAUUCCUUUCAUCGCUGAGCUAAUUCGAAUUUGAACUUCAGUUUCAGAACCAUAGCUCUUUGGUAAACGGUAACGACAUAAUUAUUUGAGAUAACCUUGGACAGAAAUGUGCGUAAUAAACUAUCAACAUUUUCUCGUAUGUUAAUGUUCAUUUCACAAUUAUUCUAUAUCUGAGUUUGCUGAGGAAUACAAUCACCAUAUUUGUAUUAAACGGGUCUAUAUAUCAGAUAUAUUUUAAGUUAUUGGUUGAAUGGUACCAUAUCUGAAUAGCGGUUAAUAUUUUAAGUUAUUGGCUUAAUGGUACCUUAUCUGAAUAGUGACUAAUAUUUUAACUUAUUGGCUGAAUGGUACCAUAUUUGAAUAGUGGCUAAUAUCUCAAUAUUAUUUACCGCUCUACUAGCACAAGAAAACUAAACUUGCUUGCAUGAUAAGGAACAUAAUAAAUCCUCAUAAUCUAUACAGGAUAUAAUGUAUUAUGAAAUGAAAUGGAAAUGAAAUGAAAUGGGGUUUAACGUCCUACUGUUCUGCUCCUAAACUGGGCUAAUGAUAAUCAUAUAUAGGGUUAUGUGUGUUGUCAUAAAUAAAGUUAUUGUCUUUUAUACCUAUUAUGAUUGAGUUUUUGCGUGACCGACUAGUCUCGAGGGAAAUUUCUUUAUACAGACAACCGAUACAUCAAUAUGGAAUGUAUUGGAUACAUAUUUGACUUUUUCGGCUAAGAUCUGAGCACAUACUGACAAAAAAACAGUAAUAAGAGAUAGACUUGGUGGAAAACGGAGGAGCAGGCUGACCCAACAGAACUAGUUUAGGAUAACUUGAAUGGAAUAUUAUUGUCAUAAUUUAUGAAACCAUAUAAUAGUUUAUAGUCAGAUAAAUAAAUAUGUUUGUUACAUGUAACACUAAAGACAAUGCUCCAGUGAUAAAACGUAUAAGGCGUUCCGGGAAGAUUAAGCAUACCCUGUCCUGCACAUGGCAUCUUCAACAACUAUUAGCGAUAUUAUAUGUUGAUGCAAAAGUGACCCGCGUUUACUGCAUACAGUACUGGGCCCUUAUUCACGAAAACUUAAACUAAGUUA
Patella vulgata (common limpet) is the source of this 1633-nucleotide long non-coding RNA. RefSeq lists it as uncharacterized. The transcript has 3 exons. The record is from RefSeq and is a predicted model, not a curated record. NCBI's taxonomy places the organism in Eukaryota, Metazoa, Mollusca, Gastropoda, Patellidae.